RNAcentral lists this ribosomal RNA (497 nucleotides) under uncultured bacterium. RNAcentral describes it as "partial 16S ribosomal RNA". It matches the Rfam family "Bacterial small subunit ribosomal RNA", at positions 28 to 507 of the family's 1533-position model. The record is from RNAcentral.
GAUGAACGCUGGCGGCGUGCCUAAUACAUGCAAGUCGAGCGAACAGAUGAGGAGCUUGCUCCUCUGACGUUAGCGGCGGACGGGUGAGUAACACGUGGAUAACCUACCUAUAAGACUGGGAUAACUUCGGGAAACCGGAGCUAAUACCGGAUAAUAUAUUGAACCGCAUGGUUCAAUAGUGAAGGACGGUUUUGCUGUCACUUAUAGAUGGAUCCGCGCCGCAUUAGCUAGUUGGUAAGGUAACGGCUUACCAAGGCAACGAUGCGUAGCCGACCUGAGAGGGUGAUCGGCCACACUGGAACUGAGACACGGUCCAGACUCCUACGGGAGGCAGCAGUAGGGAAUCUUCCGCAAUGGGCGAAAGCCUGACGGGGCAACGCCGCGUGAGUGAUGAAGGUCUUCGGAUCGUAAAACUCUUUUAUUAGGGAAGAACAAAUGUGUAAGUAACUAUGCACGUCUUGACGGUACCUAAUCAGAAAGCCACGGCUAACUACGUG